GUCCUUUGCUCCAGAUGAAUGAUACAAAUAUAGUCUCUGUGCCAGUGCCAGAAUUUUGAAAUUGUUGUCAGUAGACUGUGCCCAAGCAUAGAAAUAUCACAAGUGUGAUGUCACAGGAUCCCGAGUGUGGAAAUAUUCUCCAAGUUGAGAAAUGUAUGGGAGUUGAGGAUUUGUUUGUUGUUGAUUUUUUUGUUUGUUUCAUUCUUUGAAAGAAGCAAGUUCUAAAAGAAUUGCAUAGCCGAGGUACACCUUUCUAAAUAAAAGGUGUUUGAUGCAGUAUCUUCUGCUUGCAUUCUGUUUCAGCUGUUUCAUUCAGUAUGUUUCACAUCGGAUUUGUGCUGCUGUCAAAGAGAAGCCAUUAUCUGAUUUGAAACAGGGAUGCUUGGCAAGACGUUUCGGGCAAUCCGGAUGGAUAUGUGUUUGCUUUUGCCCUACUUUCAUUCUACUCAGAAUUCGGAAUGAUAACCAUCUCACAGAUCUCAAUACGUGCUUCCAUUCCAGCAAAAGAUCAAGCAUUGAGUGAUUGUCACCCAAAGGACAUAGCAAAACACAGUGAUGUUACAUCUCAUUCUCUGACUGAACAUCAUGAAUCUGGUACCUCAACACAGCACCCCAGAGCUUCCAGGCCAAGGAAUACUGUACACAAUCAGCAUGUUAUUAAUGAGUGAGCUACAUGCUGCUAGGCAUAUUCUUAAAGACCUAGCAAACUCCUGAGGUGACUCCCGGUUCACCUGAUGUUGGCACCAAUACUUGCCUCACAGCCCUAUGCUAAAUGUUCUUGUCCUCUCUCCUCCAUGCUAUUGUGUUAGAUAUGCGGAAAGAAUUCAUCUGUGGGCCAUCUUGAAAGAAUUCUCCCACUUUCUCUAUGACAUGAAUAUGGAAGGACCUCUAUUUUUGCUUUUUAUCUUUUUAAAUGAAACUUGCUGUUUUCAGACAUGCUUUGAUGUAGCA
RNAcentral lists this long non-coding RNA (951 nucleotides) under Struthio camelus australis. Its description in RNAcentral is "lncRNA (ENSSCUG00000010681.1)". The record is from RNAcentral. Lineage: Eukaryota; Metazoa; Chordata; Aves; Struthioniformes; Struthionidae.